CCUACGGGUGGCAGCAGUCGAGAAUCAUUCACAAUGGGGGAAACCCUGAUGGUGCGACGCCGCGUGGGGGAAUGAAGGUCUUCGGAUUGUAAACCCCUGUCAUGUGGGAGCAAAUUAAAAAGAUCGUACCACAAGAGGAAGAGACGGCUAACUCUGUGCCAGCAGCCGCGGUAAUACAGAGGUCUCAAGCGUUGUUCGGAAUCACUGGGCGUAAAGCGUGCGUAGGCUGUUUCGUAAGUCGUGUGUGAAAGGCGCGGGCUCAACCCGCGGACGGCACAUGAUACUGGGAGACUAGAGUAAGGGAGGGGGAACCGGAAUUCUCGGUGUAGCAGUGAAAUGCGUAGAUAUCGGGAGGAACACUCGUGGCGAAGGCGGGUUCCUGGACAUUAACUGACGCUGAGGCACGAAGGCCAGGGGAGCGAAAGGGAUUAGAUACCCGAGUAGUC
Molecule: ribosomal RNA, 446 nt
Filed under: uncultured bacterium
Lineage: Bacteria
Description: partial 16S ribosomal RNA
Rfam family: Bacterial small subunit ribosomal RNA
Source: RNAcentral